Molecule: ribosomal RNA, 444 nt
Filed under: Parvimonas micra
Lineage: Bacteria; Bacillati; Bacillota; Tissierellia; Tissierellales; Peptoniphilaceae
Description: bacterial SSU rRNA
Rfam family: Bacterial small subunit ribosomal RNA
Source: RNAcentral
GACGAACGCGGCGGCGUGCUUAACACAUGCAAGUCGAACGUGAUUUUUGUGGAAAUUCUUUCGGGAAUGGAAAUGAAAUGAAAGUGGCGAACGGGUGAGUAACACGUGAGCAACCUACCUUACACAGGGGGAUAGCCGUUGGAAACGACGAUUAAUACCGCAUGAGACCACAGAAUCGCAUGAUAUAGGGGUCAAAGAUUUAUCGGUGUAAGAAGGGCUCGCGUCUGAUUAGCUAGUUGGAAGGGUAAAGGCCUACCAAGGCGACGAUCAGUAGCCGGUCUGAGAGGAUGAACGGCCACAUUGGAACUGAGACACGGUCCAAACUCCUACGGGAGGCAGCAGUGGGGAAUAUUGCACAAUGGGGGGAACCCUGAUGCAGCGACGCCGCGUGAGCGAAGAAGGUUUUCGAAUCGUAAAGCUCUGUCCUAUGAGAAGAUAAUGACG